RNAcentral lists this small RNA (317 nucleotides) under uncultured bacterium. Its description in RNAcentral is "bacterial SSU rRNA". It matches the Rfam family "Bacterial small subunit ribosomal RNA", at positions 51 to 349 of the family's 1533-position model. The record is from RNAcentral.
ACACAUGCAAGUCGUACGAGAAACACGUCCUUCGGGAUGUGGAGUAAAGUGGCGCACGGGUGAGUAACACGUGGGUAACCUACCUUUGGGUUCGGGAUAACUGGCCGAAAGGCCCGCUAAUACCGGAAAAGGCCGCAGGAGCUUCGGCACCAGGGGUUAAAGCCGGCCUCUCGAAGAAGCUGGCGCCUGAAGAUGGGCCCGCGGACCAUUAGCUAGUUGGUAGGGUAAAAGCCUACCAAGGCCGAGAUGGUUAGCUGGUCUGAGAGGACGAUCAGCCACACUGGAACUGAGACACGGUCCAGACUCCUACGGGAGGC